Long non-coding RNA from Ipomoea triloba (trilobed morning glory), 533 nucleotides. RefSeq lists it as uncharacterized. The record is from RefSeq and is a predicted model, not a curated record. The transcript is spliced from 3 exons. NCBI's taxonomy places the organism in Eukaryota, Viridiplantae, Streptophyta, Magnoliopsida, Solanales, Convolvulaceae.
ACAUGAUUUGAUCUGAGAAAUUUUCUGACAGGACAGUUUAUGCCAAGUUUUGUUUAAGUAAUGAGAGAACCAUGAUGGGAUCAAUUGGGUUGGCCAUCUGAAAAUGUUUCUUUCUGGAAGGGGAAGGUAUGGAGAGCAGAAACAGGGCAACAUCAUUAGUCUGGCCCUCCCCAUGUUUUCCCUACUAGGAUGCAAAACAUAGUGGGAGUUGAAACUGAGCCACAUGAAAUCCUCAGAAAGCGGCUGGCUUCGAAAAUGACCUGCCAUUGCUUAAGGUGGAAGAAUUAUGAGACCUAAAGCAUACCGCUUGAAACAGAAAUGGCUAAACAUGGAGUAAAAGGUUGGCAUGUUUCCAAUUAACGUCUGCACCUCACCCCCCACCACCCUCAAAAGCCAUGUGUGGCAUUAAUUUAUUGACAAUACAUAUUUACAAACAAUUUAUGUUAGUAAAAAUAAACGUUAAAAACACACAAUUACAAUAAAUAUUUGUUUUGAAACUCAUUAUUAAAAAUGGAACCCACAGUUCUAGACCA